RNAcentral lists this ribosomal RNA (496 nucleotides) under uncultured bacterium. RNAcentral describes it as "partial 16S ribosomal RNA". It matches the Rfam family "Bacterial small subunit ribosomal RNA", at positions 29 to 507 of the family's 1533-position model. The record is from RNAcentral.
AUGAACGCUGGCGGCGUGCCUAAUACAUGCAAGUCGAGCGAACAGACGAGGAGCUUGCUCCUCUGACGUUAGCGGCGGACGGGUGAGUAACACGUGGAUAACCUACCUAUAAGACUGGGAUAACUUCGGGAAACCGGAGCUAAUACCGGAUAAUAUAUUGAACCGCAUGGUUCAAUAGUGAAAGACGGUUUUGCUGUCACUUAUAGAUGGAUCCGCGCCGCAUUAGCUAGUUGGUAAGGUAACGGCUUACCAAGGCGACGAUGCGUAGCCGACCUGAGAGGGUGAUCGGCCACACUGGAACUGAGACACGGUCCAGACUCCUACGGGAGGCAGCAGUAGGGAAUCUUCCGCAAUGGGCGAAAGCCUGACGGAGCAACGCCGCGUGAGUGAUGAAGGUCUUCGGAUCGUAAAACUCUGUUAUUAGGGAAGAACAAAUGUGUAAGUAACUAUGAACGUCUUGACGGUACCUAAUCAGAAAGCCACGGCUAACUACGUG